RNAcentral lists this ribosomal RNA (274 nucleotides) under uncultured bacterium. RNAcentral's name for it is "partial 16S ribosomal RNA". It matches the Rfam family "Bacterial small subunit ribosomal RNA", at positions 523 to 796 of the family's 1533-position model. The record is from RNAcentral.
AUACGGAGGGUGCAAGCGUUAAUCGGAAUUACUGGGCGUAAAGCGCGCGUAGGCGGCUAAUUAAGUCAAAUGUGAAAUCCCCGAGCUUAACUUGGGAAUUGCAUUCGAUACUGGUUAGCUAGAGUGUGGGAGAGGAUGGUAGAAUUCCAGGUGUAGCGGUGAAAUGCGUAGAGAUCUGGAGGAAUACCGAUGGCGAAGGCAGCCAUCUGGCCUAACACUGACGCUGAGGUGCGAAAGCAUGGGGAGCAAACAGGAUUAGAUACCCGUGUAGUCC